This 447-nucleotide ribosomal RNA is filed under the name uncultured bacterium. RNAcentral describes it as "partial 16S ribosomal RNA". It matches the Rfam family "Bacterial small subunit ribosomal RNA", at positions 330 to 793 of the family's 1533-position model. The record is from RNAcentral.
UCCAGACUCCUACGGGAGGCAGCAGUGGGGGAUAUUGCACAAUGGGGGGAACCCUGAUGCAGCGACGCCGCGUGGGUGAAGGAGCGUUUCGGCGCGUAAAGCCCUAUCGGCAGGGAAGAAGGAGGACGGUACCUGACUAAGAAGCCCCGGCUAACUACGUGCCAGCAGCCGCGGUAAUACGUAGGGGGCAAGCGUUAUCCGGAUUUACUGGGUGUAAAGGGGGCGCAGACGGCAGCGCAAGCCAGGAGUGAAAGCCCGGGGCCCAACCCCGGGGCUGCUCUUGGAACUGCGCGGCUGGAGUGCAGGAGGGGCAGGCGGAAUUCCUGGUGUAGCGGUGAAAUGCGUAGAUAUCAGGAGGAACACCGGUGGCGAAGGCGGCCUGCUGGACUGCGACUGACGUUGAGGCCCGAAAGCGUGGGGAGCAAACAGGAUUAGAUACCCUCGUAG